GGUUAAGCGACUAAGCGUACACGGUGGAUGCCCUGGCAGUCAGAGGCGAUGAAGGACGUGCUAAUCUGCGAAAAGCGUCGGUAAGGUGAUAUGAACCGUUAUAACCGGCGAUGUCCGAAUGGGGAAACCCAGUGUGAUUCGUCACACUAUCGUUAACUGAAUACAUAGGUUAACGAGGCGAACCGGGGGAACUGAAACAUCUAAGUACCCCGAGGAAAAGAAAUCAACCGAGAUUCCCCCAGUAGCGGCGAGCGAACGGGGAGCAGCCCAGAGUCUGAAUCAGCUUGUGUGUUAGUGGAACGGUCUGGAAAGUCCGACGGUACAGGGUGAUAGUCCCGUACACCAAAAUGCACAGGCUGUGAACUCGAAGAGUAGGGCGGGACACGUGGUAUCCUGUCUGAAUAUGGGGGGACCAUCCUCCAAGGCUAAAUACUCCUGACUGACCGAUAGUGAACCAGUACCGUGAGGGAAAGGCGAAAAGAACCCCGGCGAGGGGAGUGAAAAAGAACCUGAAACCGUGUACGUACAAGCAGUGGGAGCACCUUCGGGUGUGACUGCGUACCUUUUGUAUAAUGGGUCAGCGACUUAUAUUCUGUAGCAAGGUUAACCGUAUAGGGGAGCCGCAGGGAAACCGAGUCUUAACUGGGCGUUAAGUUGCAGGGUAUAGACCCGAAACCCGGUGAUCUAGCCAUGGGCAGGUUGAAGGUUGGGUAACACUAACUGGAGGACCGAACCGACUAAUGUUGAAAAAUUAGCGGAUGACUUGUGGCUGGGGGUGAAAGGCCAAUCAAACCGGGAGAUAGCUGGUUCUCCCCGAAAGCUAUUUAGGUAGCGCCUCGUGAAUUCAUCUUCGGGGGUAGAGCACUGUUUCGGCUAGGGGGUCAUCCCGACUUACCAACCCGAUGCAAACUACGAAUACCGAAGAAUGUUAUCACGGGAGACACACGGCGGGUGCUAACGUCCGUCGUGAAGAGGGAAACAACCCAGACCGCCAGCUAAGGUCCCAAAGUCAUGGUUAAGUGGGAAACGAUGUGGGAAGGCACAGACAGCCAGGAUGUUGGCUUAGAAGCAGCCAUCAUUUAAAGAAAGCGUAAUAGCUCACUGGUCGAGUCGGCCUGCGCGGAAGAUGUAACGGGGCUAAACCAUGCACCGAAGCUGCGGCAGCGACACUAUGUGUUGUUGGGUAGGGGAGCGUUCUGUAAGCCUGCGAAGGUGUGCUGUGAGGCAUGCUGGAGGUAUCAGAAGUGCGAAUGCUGACAUAAGUAACGAUAAAGCGGGUGAAAAGCCCGCUCGCCGGAAGACCAAGGGUUCCUGUCCAACGUUAAUCGGGGCAGGGUGAGUCGACCCCUAAGGCGAGGCCGAAAGGCGUAGUCGAUGGGAAACAGGUUAAUAUUCCUGUACUUGGUGUUACUGCGAAGGGGGGACGGAGAAGGCUAUGUUAGCCGGGCGACGGUUGUCCCGGUUUAAGCAUGUAGGCUGAUUGUCCAGGCAAAUCCGGAUAAUCAAGGCUGAGGUGUGAUGACGAGGCACUACGGUGCUGAAGUAACAAAUGCCCUGCUUCCAGGAAAAGCCUCUAAGCAUCAGGUAACAUCAAAUCGUACCCCAAACCGACACAGGUGGUCAGGUAGAGAAUACCAAGGCGCUUGAGAGAACUCGGGUGAAGGAACUAGGCAAAAUGGUGCCGUAACUUCGGGAGAAGGCACGCUGGUGUGUAGGUGAAGUCCCUGCGGAUGGAGCUGAGACCAGUCGAAGAUACCAGCUGGCUGCAACUGUUUAUUAAAAACACAGCACUGUGCAAACACGAAAGUGGACGUAUACGGUGUGACGCCUGCCCGGUGCCGGAAGGUUAAUUGAUGGGGUUAUCCGUAAGGAGAAGCUCUUGAUCGAAGCCCCGGUAAACGGCGGCCGUAACUAUAACGGUCCUAAGGUAGCGAAAUUCCUUGUCGGGUAAGUUCCGACCUGCACGAAUGGCGUAAUGAUGGCCAGGCUGUCUCCACCCGAGACUCAGUGAAAUUGAACUCGCUGUGAAGAUGCAGUGUACCCGCGGCAAGACGGAAAGACCCCGUGAACCUUUACUAUAGCUUGACACUGAACAUUGAGCCUUGAUGUGUAGGAUAGGUGGGAGGCUUUGAAGCGUGGACGCCAGUCUGCGUGGAGCCAACCUUGAAAUACCACCCUUUAAUGUUUGAUGUUCUAACGUUGGCCCCUGACCGGGGUUGCGGACAGUGUCUGGUGGGUAGUUUGACUGGGGCGGUCUCCUCCCAAAGCGUAACGGAGGAGCACGAAGGUUAGCUAAUCCUGGUCGGACAUCAGGAGGUUAGUGCAAUGGCAUAAGCUAGCUUGACUGCGAGCGUGACGGCGCGAGCAGGUGCGAAAGCAGGUCAUAGUGAUCCGGUGGUUCUGAAUGGAAGGGCCAUCGCUCAACGGAUAAAAGGUACUCCGGGGAUAACAGGCUGAUACCGCCCAAGAGUUCAUAUCGACGGCGGUGUUUGGCACCUCGAUGUCGGCUCAUCACAUCCUGGGGCUGAAGUAGGUCCCAAGGGUAUGGCUGUUCGCCAUUUAAAGUGGUACGCGAGCUGGGUUUAGAACGUCGUGAGACAGUUCGGUCCCUAUCUGCCGUGGGCGCUGGAGAAUUGAGGGGGGCUGCUCCUAGUACGAGAGGACCGGAGUGGACGCAUCACUGGUGUUCGGGUUGUCAUGCCAAUGGCACUGCCCGGUAGCUAAAUGCGGAAGAGAUAAGUGCUGAAAGCAUCUAAGCACGAAACUUGCCCCGAGAUGAGUUCUCCCUGAGACUUUAAGUCUCCUGAAGGAACGUUAAAGACGAUGACGUUGAUAGGCCGGGUGUGUAAGCGCAGCGAUGCGUUGAGCUAACCGGUACUAAUGAACCGUGAGGCUUAACCUU
This 2902-nucleotide ribosomal RNA is filed under the name Klebsiella pneumoniae. RNAcentral's name for it is "23S ribosomal RNA". It matches the Rfam family "Bacterial large subunit ribosomal RNA". The record is from RNAcentral. Lineage: Bacteria; Pseudomonadati; Pseudomonadota; Gammaproteobacteria; Enterobacterales; Enterobacteriaceae.